This 303-nucleotide ribosomal RNA is filed under the name uncultured bacterium. RNAcentral's name for it is "partial 16S ribosomal RNA". It matches the Rfam family "Bacterial small subunit ribosomal RNA", at positions 510 to 808 of the family's 1533-position model. The record is from RNAcentral.
AGCAGUCGCGCGGGAAUACGUAGGGGGCAAGCGUUAUCCGGAAUUACUGGGUGUAAAGGGAGCGUAGACGGUUAAACAAGUCUGAAGUGAAAUGCCGGGGCUCAACCCCGGAGCUGCUUUGGGAACUGUAGAACUGGAGUGUCGGAGGGGUAAGCGGAAUUCCCAGUGUAGCGGUGAAAUGCGUAGAUAUUGGGAGGAACACCGGCGGCGAAGGCGGCUUACUGGACGACAACUGACGUUGAGGCUCGAAGGCGUGGGUAGCAAACAGGAUUAGAGACCCGUGUAGUCCCUGUCUCUUAUACA